CAUAGGUUAAUGAGGCGAACCGGGGGAACUGAAACAUCUAAGUACCCCGAGGAAAAGAAAUCAACCGAGAUUCCCCCAGUAGCGGCGAGCGAACGGGGAGGAGCCCAGAGCCUGAAUCAGCAUGUGUGUUAGUGGAAGCGUCUGGAAAGGCGCGCGAUACAGGGUGACAGCCCCGUACACAAAAGCGCAUGUGCUGUGAGCUCGAUGAGUAGGGCGGGACACGUGGUAUCCUGUCUGAAUAUGGGGGGACCAUCCUCCAAGGCUAAAUACUCCUGACUGACCGAUAGUGAACCAGUACCGUGAGGGAAAGGCGAAAAGAACCCCGGCGAGGGGAGUGAAAAAGAACCUGAAACCGUGUACGUACAAGCAGUGGGAGCCCCACCACUAAGCCAGUGGUGAACUCCACAUACGCAUCCUUUGCUGAGGAUACGGUUAACGGAGCGAAAGCGACGUUCAACCGCAAAAGAAGCAGAGGGGGCUUAGUGGUGGGGUG
This 493-nucleotide ribosomal RNA is filed under the name Salmonella enterica subsp. enterica serovar Teko. RNAcentral describes it as "partial 23S ribosomal RNA". The stretch from base 1 to 362 matches the Rfam family "Bacterial large subunit ribosomal RNA", at positions 165 to 565 of the family's 2925-position model. The record is from RNAcentral. Lineage: Bacteria; Pseudomonadati; Pseudomonadota; Gammaproteobacteria; Enterobacterales; Enterobacteriaceae.